Molecule: ribosomal RNA, 418 nt
Filed under: uncultured bacterium
Lineage: Bacteria
Description: bacterial SSU rRNA
Rfam family: Bacterial small subunit ribosomal RNA
Source: RNAcentral
UAUUGGUCAAUGGACGAGAGUCUGAACCAGCCAAGCAGCGUGAAGGAUGACUGCCCUAUGGGUUGUAAACUUCUUUUAUAUGGGAAUAAAACGUUCCACGUGUGGGAUUUUGUAUGUACCAUAUGAAUAAGGAACGGCUAACUCCGUGCCAGCAGCCGCGGUACUACGGAGGAUCCGAGCGUUAUCCGGAUUUAUUGGGUUUAAAGGGAGCGUAGGUGGAUUGUUAAGUCAGUUGUGAAAGUUUGCGGCUCAACCGUAAAAUUGCAGUUGAAACUGGCAGUCUUGAGUACAGUAGAGGUGGGCGGAAUUCGUGGUGUAGCGGUGAAAUGCUUAGAUAUCACGAAGAACUCCGAUUGCGAAGGCAGUUCACUGGACUGCAACUGACACUGAGGCUCGAAAGUGUGGGUAUCAAACAGGA